This 81-nucleotide transfer RNA is filed under the name Planktothricoides raciborskii GIHE-MW2. Its description in RNAcentral is "tRNA-Ser". It matches the Rfam family "tRNA". From Rfam's summary of the family: Transfer RNA (tRNA) molecules are approximately 80 nucleotides in length. Lineage: Bacteria; Bacillati; Cyanobacteriota; Cyanophyceae; Oscillatoriales; Oscillatoriaceae. RNAcentral also lists the same sequence under 3 other names. The record is from RNAcentral.
GAAGAUGCUGCUGAAUGGUCGGCAACCUGUCUUGAAAACAGGAGUAUGGGAAACUGUAGGGGUUCGAUUUCUCCAUCUUCU